GACAGAGGCCUCGAGCGUUAGGCGGAAUCACUGGGCUUAAAGCGUGUGUAGGCGGGCCCGUAAGUGUCUUGUGAAAUCCCACGGCUCAACCGUGGAACUGCUGGGCAUACUGCGGGUCUUGGGCCAACUAGGGGCAGCCGGAACAAGCGGUGGAGCGGUGAAAUGCGUAGAUAUCGCUUGGAACGCCGAAGGUGAAAACAGGGCUGCUGGGGUUGCGCCGACGCGUGAGACACGAAAGCCAGGGGAGCAAACGGGG
Molecule: ribosomal RNA, 256 nt
Filed under: uncultured bacterium
Lineage: Bacteria
Description: partial 16S ribosomal RNA
Rfam family: Bacterial small subunit ribosomal RNA
Source: RNAcentral